GUGUCAGCCGCCGCGGUAAUACGUAGGGGGCUAGCGUUAUCCGGAAUUACUGGGCGUAAAGGGUGCGUAGGCGGUCUUUCAAGCCAGAAGUGAAAGGCUACGGCUCAACUGUAGUAAGCUUUUGGAACUGUGAGACUUGAGUGCAGGAGAGGAGAGUGGAAUUCCUAGUGUAGCGGUGAAAUGCGUAGAUAUUAGGAGGAAUACCAGUAGCGAAGGCGGCUCUCUGGACUGUAACUGACGCUGAGGCACGAAAGCGUGGGGAGCGAACAGGAUUAGAAACCCGCGUAGUCC
RNAcentral lists this ribosomal RNA (291 nucleotides) under uncultured prokaryote. Its description in RNAcentral is "partial 16S ribosomal RNA". It matches the Rfam family "Bacterial small subunit ribosomal RNA", at positions 505 to 796 of the family's 1533-position model. The record is from RNAcentral.